Long non-coding RNA from Fundulus heteroclitus (mummichog), 623 nucleotides. RefSeq lists it as uncharacterized. The record is from RefSeq and is a predicted model, not a curated record. The transcript is spliced from 3 exons. NCBI's taxonomy places the organism in Eukaryota, Metazoa, Chordata, Actinopteri, Cyprinodontiformes, Fundulidae.
GCAGCAAUAGAUAUCGUCCGCCCCGAACCUCUGCUCUGCAAGCUGAAAUCCCCCCAGGGCGCAUUCCGUCACCUAAAGUUAUAGUGAGCAUGCGGGGCGACUCGUUUUGAAAUGAGGACGCAUGCAGCUUUUCCUCGAAGUUUUACUGAACAGAGCAUUCCCUCUGAAGACGCCAGGAUAACGCGGAUACAAACCGCUGCUGCUGAUGGCGGUGAUGGGAGGAGUGGCAGCUUGGUGACGCAGCGCAGCGCAGCGCCGCUCCUCCCUCCGUUAACCGGCGAGGAGGAACAACUUUCUCUCCUCUCACUGUUCACUUUCCUGAUGUAGUUGCCGUCAGAAAGAGGAGCAGACGAGGGGGGGUUAGCGGUUUUUUUUUCGCAAGUACACGGAGAAGUUUGGACAUGAAAACAUUCAGCGAGUAGAAGAUAAAUAUACAUAAAAAAGGGACGUAGAACUUUUCGACUUGGUUUUUCCUUCAUAAAAAAGUGCGGCAACAUGAAGCCGCAGCUGCGCUUCAGCCUCUCUCUGUGGACUCCCCUGGUCUUCAGCGCUCUCCUCCUGAACAUCCAGGCAGAGACAACAGCUGCACAAAAUACAACAACUGCACCAACAACAACUGCACC